GCCGAAGUGGUGGAAUUUGGUAGACACGCCAUCUUGAGGGGGUGGUGGGCUAAAACCCGUGCGGGUUCGAAUCCCGCCUUCGGCACCA
RNAcentral lists this transfer RNA (88 nucleotides) under Pseudomonadales bacterium. Its description in RNAcentral is "tRNA-Leu". It matches the Rfam family "tRNA". From Rfam's summary of the family: Transfer RNA (tRNA) molecules are approximately 80 nucleotides in length. RNAcentral also lists the same sequence under 2 other names. Lineage: Bacteria; Pseudomonadati; Pseudomonadota; Gammaproteobacteria; Pseudomonadales. The record is from RNAcentral.